This 500-nucleotide long non-coding RNA is filed under the name Salvia miltiorrhiza (redroot sage). RNAcentral describes it as "long non-coding RNA (SMIL_LNC008376)". The record is from RNAcentral. Lineage: Eukaryota; Viridiplantae; Streptophyta; Magnoliopsida; Lamiales; Lamiaceae.
UCGCAUUUAUGACUCGUUCCUCAUUAACUGCAUAUUAUAAAGUUUUCACACAUAAGUAUAAAUGAACAAUAUUACUUUAUACUAAAUGAUUUCUCUUUGUGUUUAUUAUCUUACGAAGUGUGUCUUCAAGAGAAGCGUUUGCCUUUUCCUUUCCUUUCUUUUUGGCCCUUGUAGCUUCCAUACACUCAGCAAUAAUUGUAGAUGCAUUAACUGAUACACAUGAAACAUUUAUAAUAAAAUGCACAAAAAAAAUAAAUACCACAUUAAAAUUAUUUGUAACUUGUAUUAUACCUUCAGCAUCAUCAGUUCCAUUUUGCUCAUUACUUGGACCAUCAUUUUCUUUACGGGUUGAGUUACUAACAUCUGCUGUGCAACCCAAUUUGAAUGCAUAUUUUGCUAAGAAUAAAAUAAAAUAAUAGAGGUGUACAUUAUUUCAUAUUGUAAACAUUUUACCUUUCCGCCGAUUUUUGAGAAUACAAUCAGCAACUUUAUCAGCUAAA